CCCAAAUUGGGAACCUAACCCUCAUUUUCCCCUUUCCUCAGAGGCUGAAACACGCAGCCUUCACCCCCUUUCUCCUUCACCCACUUAACGUACAACACACCCACACCAGCCACAGAGAGGAAGAGAGGGAGCUGCUCCACGUUACCGUCCAGUUGCUGUCCGGCUCGCCAUCACCGGUGUCUCACCGCCGUCACUAUGGAGACCAAACGCCGUUGAGCUUCUUGCUACUGCCUUGGAGUCCGUCGUCAGGUUCGAGUUGAAGAAAGAGGGAGGCAUAGAUUCAACGUCGCGUAGAGAGGAAUUUGUUGUUGUCGUUGCACGCCGUCGUGUGCUGUCGCUGUUGUUUGAGCCGUCGCUAUCGCCGUGGGUGAAGUCCGCCGCUGGCGCCAGUUGAGGCCGCUGCUAUGGAACAAAGAUGAGAGAGAGACGUUGGGAGGAAACUGUGAGCUGCAAGCCGCUGACCGAGAAGAAGCUCUGCCUUUGUUGCCGUGUUAGAGUCGUCACUGCCAACGCCGUGCACCGCCGUUAGCACUGCCAUUGAAGGGAGCUCGCCGUCACAGUUCAAUCAUCAUUGAGCUUGAAGGGAGGCGUCACUAAUAUACCCGACAGCAGCUUCCCCUGCGUUCCCAAUUCCAUUCUUGAAACUUAUUAUCAUCUUUAUCCGGAACCACUGAUGUCAUCGCUACGGAGGUGAUUGGGAUAGGCGCGAUUGUCAUUGUUGUUGCUGCCCCAGAAGAAGUGAGGCUGCUGCUGCUGUUCCGGCCGCAUUGGCUGUUGUAAACUGGAAAAA
Molecule: non-coding RNA, 790 nt
Organism: Arachis ipaensis
Lineage: Eukaryota; Viridiplantae; Streptophyta; Magnoliopsida; Fabales; Fabaceae
Source: RefSeq, a predicted model, not a curated record